GACGAACGCUGGCGGCGUGCUUAACACAUGCAAGUCGAACGGAAAGGCCCUGCUUUUGUGGGGUGCUCGAGUGGCGAACGGGUGAGUAACACGUGAGUAACCUGCCCUUGACUUUGGGAUAACUUCAGGAAACUGGGGCUAAUACCGGAUAGGAGCUCCUGCUGCAUGGUGGGGGUUGGAAAGUUUCGGCGGUUGGGGAUGGACUCGCGGCUUAUCAGCUUGUUUGUGGGGUAGUGGCUUACCAAGGCUUUGACGGGUAGCCGGCCUGAGAAGGUGACCGGAAAAAUUGGGACUGAGAUAAGGCCCAGAGUGCAACGGGAGGCAGCAGUGGGGAAUAUUGCACAAUGGGCGGAAGCCUGAUGCAGAAACGCCGCGUGCGGGAUGACGGCCUUCGGGUUGUAAACAGCUUUAGCAUGUGACGAAGCGUGAGUGACGGUAAUGGGUAAAGAAGCACCGGCUAACUACGUG
This 468-nucleotide ribosomal RNA is filed under the name uncultured bacterium. Its description in RNAcentral is "partial 16S ribosomal RNA". It matches the Rfam family "Bacterial small subunit ribosomal RNA", at positions 28 to 507 of the family's 1533-position model. The record is from RNAcentral.